UCGUCGUGCUUGACAAAGGCCCCAAAGGAAGCCAUGGCUAACUCCGUGCCCGCAGCCGCGGUAAUACGGAGAUGGCGAGCGUUGUUCGGAAUCACUGGGCGUAAAGCGCGCGUAGGCGGCCGGGCAAGUUGGAUGUGGAAGCGCCGGGCUCAACUCGGCAAUGGCGUCCAAUACUGCUCGGCUGGAGGACGGUAGGGGAGAGUGGAAC
This 208-nucleotide ribosomal RNA is filed under the name uncultured Planctomycetales bacterium. Its description in RNAcentral is "partial 16S ribosomal RNA". It matches the Rfam family "Bacterial small subunit ribosomal RNA", at positions 460 to 667 of the family's 1533-position model. Lineage: Bacteria; Pseudomonadati; Planctomycetota; Planctomycetia; Planctomycetales. The record is from RNAcentral.